RNAcentral lists this ribosomal RNA (253 nucleotides) under uncultured bacterium. RNAcentral's name for it is "partial 16S ribosomal RNA". It matches the Rfam family "Bacterial small subunit ribosomal RNA", at positions 524 to 776 of the family's 1533-position model. The record is from RNAcentral.
UACGUAGGGACCAAGCGUUGUUCGGAUUUACUGGGCGUAAAGGGCUCGUAGGCGGCUCGGUAAGUCACUUGUGAAAUCUCUGAGCUUAACUCAGAACGGUCAAGUGAUACUGCUGUGCUAGAGUGCAGAAGGGGAAAUCGGAAUUCUUGGUGUAGCGGUGAAAUGCGUAGAUAUCAAGAGGAACACCUGAGGUGAAGACGGGUUGCUGGGCUGACACUGACGCUGAGGCGCGAAAGCGAGGGGAGCAAACGGG